This 427-nucleotide ribosomal RNA is filed under the name uncultured bacterium. Its description in RNAcentral is "partial 16S ribosomal RNA". It matches the Rfam family "Bacterial small subunit ribosomal RNA", at positions 355 to 774 of the family's 1533-position model. The record is from RNAcentral.
UGGGGAAUAUUGCACAAUGGGCGCAAGCCUGAUGCAGCCAUGCCGCGUGUAUGAAGAAGGCCUUCGGGUUGUAAAGUACUUUCAGCGGGGAGGAAGGUGUUGUGGUUAAUAACCUCAGCAAUUGACGUUACCCGCAGAAGAAGCACCGGCUAACUCCGUGCCAGCAGCCGCGGUAAUACGGAGGGUGCAAGCGUUAAUCGGAAUUACUGGGCGUAAAGCGCACGCAGGCGGUCUGUCAAGUCGGAUGUGAAAUCCCCGGGCUCAACCUGGGAACUGCAUCCGAAACUGGCAGGCUUGAGUCUUGUUGAGGGGGGUAGAAUUCCAGGUGUAGCGGUGAAAUGCGUAGAGAUCUGGAGGAAUACCGGUGGCGAAGGCGGCCCCCUGGACAAAGACUGACGCUCAGGUGCGAAAGCGUGGGGAGCAAACA